GCAAGAACCAACCUUGACUUCUGAGUAUGAGUUCUGGAAAAAAGGACCCAAUACUGCUCCACAUUUGUUACAAUCAUAUUUCACUUGUUGCAAUUGGGGAAAAACACCAGAUCGCCGGGUGACAACUCCACCAAUACGAAUCAUGGUGUUCAAAUGGAUCUGCCUUAUAUUACGAAUCUGAUCAUAAACUGGUAAGUUGGUAAUCCUGACAUAGACUUUCUGAUGAAUUUGCUUAUAGUUGGGAUGAAGAUCAAAGACAACUUUGUUGGCAACUUCUUCCAUCACUUCAAGAACGGAUUGUGGUGCAUCUGCCAGCCAGAUGGCAAUAUUGGGAUGGACAUAUAUGAAUUGCUUGUAAUCAAUCUCAAGGCUGCAUUUAUUAACUGAUACCAUCUCAUUAAUCUGUCGAAGAUAUUCAAAGUCCCCAUGUUCAUUUUUGGGAUUUACAUAUGUGAGUAAGAAUUCCUUGAAUUUCUUCGCAAUGAAGCGCCGGACUUCAUCUCUAGUUACCCAUUCCCUAAGUGUUCCCUGAACCCUGUACAUCUCAAACUCCCCUUCAUCAUUUUCAUCAUCCUCAUAGGGAUCAUCAUCAGUUUGAUCAGUCAUUGGUACAUCCUGGCUGGAGUUUACUCGUUGUGAUGCCCCUGGUGAACUUGGCAUUGCAUCAGUAUCAUCAAAAUUCCUUCUGAAAUCAGCUCUAGUCCUUUUUGAUGGCCUAUAGUUAUCAUCAUCAGUAUCUUGAUCAUGAAGAAGUUGAGGAAGCUUACGGUUAGAGACAUGUACAUCUCUAUUGUCAAGUUCCACUUCAGCAGCCUGACGAUCUGCCAUGAUUUGAUCCAGAUCUCUUUCAUCCACCAUGGAAUCAUCCAAUCCGAGGGACUCGUACUGGUCAGCCUCACCCAUCCUCUGAUAGUCAUCGAGAUAAUUGUCGUUGAAAAGGUCUUCUCCAUCUUCCUCUUCAAUGUCAGCAUCUUCUUGAUCGUCUCUGAUGAUAUCAGGAUCGACAGAGGCUUCAUCCUCUUCAGAGUAGUUUUGGCUAGUGUUGAAAGGGAGCUGAUCGGUGUUGAAUCCUACUGACGUCGGAGAAUCAGGAGUAGACGGUGGAUUGCCAUUUCUAUGAUCGGCAGACGACGGAGACUCCGCCGGACGAUGGCUACCACUAUCGCCGUUGGAAUCUUCUCCGGCCAUUUUCUCUCUGUUUCUCUCUCUACUCGGGCGUUGUGCUUUGUAGGGUUUUG
Molecule: unclassified non-coding RNA, 1238 nt
Filed under: Hevea brasiliensis (rubber tree)
Lineage: Eukaryota; Viridiplantae; Streptophyta; Magnoliopsida; Malpighiales; Euphorbiaceae
Source: RNAcentral